GGGUGGAGCCUGCGGUUUAAUUGGAUUCAACGCCGGAAAUCUCACCGGGGGCGACAGCAAUAUGAAGGUCAGGCUGAAGACCUUACCCGAUUAGCUGAGAGGUGGUGCAUGGCCGUCGUCAGUUCGUACUGUGAAGCAUCCUGUUAAGUCAGGCAACGAGCGAGACCCACGUCCACAGUUGCCAGCAUACCCUCCGGGGUGAUGGGUACACUGUGGAGACCGCCGCUGCUAAAGCGGAGGAAGGAGUGGGCAACGGUAGGUCAGUAUGCCCCGAAUCUCCCGGGCUACACGCGGGCUACAAUGGUUGGUACAAUGGGCAUCUACCCCGAAAGGGGAAGGAAAUCUCUUAAAGCCAAUCGUAGUUCGGAUUGAGG
RNAcentral lists this ribosomal RNA (374 nucleotides) under uncultured archaeon. Its description in RNAcentral is "bacterial SSU rRNA". It matches the Rfam family "Archaeal small subunit ribosomal RNA", at positions 886 to 1259 of the family's 1478-position model. The record is from RNAcentral.